AUAAUUAAAUAGUUUAUAAUAAUAGAAAAAAAAAGCGAAUUGGAGAAAUGAUGCAAACUGUUGUGAUUGUUUUUAAUUAGUGGUAGCAAGAAAGCGAUGUGGUGUAGCGUGUAGAGAUGAUCGAGAGAGCUGCGUCUAAAUUUGUAACAUUCUUAAGUGUCGCAGAUGCACGUGUUGCAAUUAAAAUCCAAAUAUAAAGUUUCGUCACAGCGUACAGCGCAACACGUAAAGAAUGCGACGCAAACGUUACGUAUGCACACUACAAUCUAAAUGCGUUCCAUUUCCUAUCCUCAAACACUGUCUGUCUGUGUGUAUGUGAUAUUGUUAGUUACAUAGUUUACAACAGUAUUUUACAGAUCACCCUGUAUAUAUAUAUAGCAGCGAUCUGCACAGUUGGCAACACUGAAGGCUAGCUGGUAGCCGAGCUGAGAGUUUUCGCAGUUGGCGGCAGUGUCUUGUUAUUGAAACCAAUUGAAACCCGUUCCAACAUGGCAGAGCUCAGUAAACGUAAACAAUUGGGACCGAUGAAUUUCUCGACCGUCGAAGAUAUCGGCCCCCUUGCUGGGGCCUUCCGUAAAGGAAAAUCAUUUAUAAUGGAUUUUUUCCUGAGAUACAUGAAUGUCAAGGUGAGCAUUUCAUUAUUAAUAGCUUAGUCAUUUCCCUACCCGCACACACAAAAAUAUGCAUUCAUCAAAGUUAACUUAUUAACCUGAAAGUGUCAUGUUUGUCACUACUUGACUCUUUAAAAGUCUCCUAUUGUUUUGUCUAUCAUAUUGGAGCUACUUGAUACUCUAAUUGGAACCUUUUCGUAAUUGAACUGGACUC
Long non-coding RNA from Nicrophorus vespilloides, 825 nucleotides. RefSeq lists it as uncharacterized. The transcript is spliced from 3 exons. NCBI's taxonomy places the organism in Eukaryota, Metazoa, Arthropoda, Insecta, Coleoptera, Silphidae. The record is from RefSeq and is a predicted model, not a curated record.